Molecule: ribosomal RNA, 1407 nt
Filed under: uncultured prokaryote
Description: partial 16S ribosomal RNA
Rfam family: Bacterial small subunit ribosomal RNA
Source: RNAcentral
CGAGAAAGGCUCCUUCGGGAGCUGAGUAAAGUGGCGAAAGGGUGAGUAAUGCAUAGACAACCUACCCCUGAGAUGGGGAUAACGCUUCGAAAGGAGUGCUAAUACCCAAUACUGUCUCGACUCCGUGGAGUCGAGAUGAACGGAGGCCUCUGACUCAAGCUUUCGCUCAGGGAGGGGUUUAUGUCCUAUUAGCUUGUUGGUGAGGUAAUGGCUCACCAAGGCAGCGAUGGGUAGCCGACCUGAGAGGGUGACCGGCCACACUGGGACUGAGACACUGCCCAGACUCCUACGGGAGGCUGCAGUCGAGAAUCUUCCGCAAUGCGCGCAAGCGUGACGGAGCGACGCCGCGUGGGUGAUGAAGGCCUUCGGGUUGUAAAGCCCUGUCAGUUGCUAGGAACCGCAGGUGGUGAAUAGCUGUCCAGUUUGACGUAAGUAGCAAAGGAAGCACCGGCUAAAUACGUGCCAGCAGCCGCGGUAAUACGUAUGGUGCGAACGUUGUUCGGAAUCACUGGGCCUAAAGAGCGCGUAGGCGGUUGGGUAAGUCAAACGUGAAAUCCCCCGGCUCAACCGGGGAACUGCGUCUGAAACUGUCCAGCUAGAGUGCAGGAGGGGAGAGUGGAAUUCCUGGUGGAGCGGUGAAAUGCGUAGAUAUCAGGAGGAACGCCGGUGGCGAAAGCGACUCUCUGGCCUGCCACUGACGCUGAGGCGCGAAAGCUAGGGGAGCAAACGGGAUUAGAUACCCCGGUAGUCCUAGCCCUAAACGAUGGGCACUAGGUAGAGGGAACUCCGAUGUUUUCUCUGCCGGAGCUAAUGUAUUAAGUACCCCGCCUGGGGAGUAUGGUCGCAAGGCUAAAACUCAAAGGAAUUGACGGGGGCUCACACAAGCGGUGGAGCAUGUUGUUCAAUUCGAAGCAACGCGAAGAACCUUACCCGGGUUUGACAUGCUUGGGGCCGCCUAGAGAUAGUUUAGUGCCUUCGGGAACUGAGUGACAGGUGCUGCAUGGCUGUCGUCAGCUCGUGUCGAGAGAUGUUGGGUUAAGUCCCGUAACGAGCGCAACCCUUAUCCUUAGUUGCCAGCAUUUCAUGGUUGGAACUCUAAGGAGACUGCCGGUGACAAACCGGAGGAAGGUGGGGACGACGUCAAGUCAUCAUGGCCCUUACGACCUGGGCUACACACGUGCUACAAUGGUCGGUACAGAGGGUUGCAAGGCCGCGAGGUGGAGCUAAUCCCAGAAAACCGAUCCUAGUCCGGAUUGCAGUCUGCAACUCGACUGCAUGAAGUCGGAAUCGCUAGUAAUCGCGAAUCAGAAUGUCGCGGUGAAUACGUUCCCGGGCCUUGUACACACCGCCCGUCACACCAUGGGAGUGGGUUGCAAAAGAAGUGGGUAGACUAACCUUCGGGGGGUC